RNAcentral lists this ribosomal RNA (502 nucleotides) under Allomuricauda sp. RNAcentral's name for it is "bacterial SSU rRNA". It matches the Rfam family "Bacterial small subunit ribosomal RNA", at positions 397 to 899 of the family's 1533-position model. The record is from RNAcentral. Lineage: Bacteria; Pseudomonadati; Bacteroidota; Flavobacteriia; Flavobacteriales; Flavobacteriaceae.
CCGCGUGCAGGAUGACGGCCCUAUGGGUUGUAAACUGCUUUUAUACGGGAAGAAACGCACCUACGUGUAGGUGUCUGACGGUACCGUAAGAAUAAGGACCGGCUAACUCCGUGCCAGCAGCCGCGGUAAUACGGAGGGUCCGAGCGUUAUCCGGAAUCAUUGGGUUUAAAGGGUCCGUAGGCGGGCCUGUAAGUCAGGGGUGAAAGUUUGUGGCUCAACCAUAAAAUUGCCUUUGAUACUGCAGGUCUUGAGUCAUGGUGGGGUUGCCGGAACAUGUGGUGUAGCGGUGAAAUGCAUAGAUAUCACAUAGAACACCGAUCGCGAAGGCAGGUGACCAACCAUGUACUGACGCUGAUGGACGAAAGCGUGGGUAGCGAACGGGAUUAGAUACCCCGGUAGUCCACGCCGUAAACGAUGGAUACUAGCUGUGGGGACUUCGGUCUCCGUGGCCAAGCGAAAGUGAUAAGUAUCCCACCUGGGGAGUACGUUCGCAAGAAUGAAA